AAUUAGUUGCAGCCCGACUUGAGUGGAAAUCCUUUUUGCCUAAAAAAACUUUUCUUUUUUCGAUAAAUUUUGAAAGCAAAAAGAUUGGGAACGGAAGGCGGAAUUGUCU
RNAcentral lists this small RNA (109 nucleotides) under Halpernia frigidisoli. RNAcentral's name for it is "Chryseobacterium frigidisoli Flavo-1 RNA". It matches the Rfam family "Flavo-1 RNA". Lineage: Bacteria; Pseudomonadati; Bacteroidota; Flavobacteriia; Flavobacteriales; Weeksellaceae. The record is from RNAcentral.